Molecule: long non-coding RNA, 1333 nt
Organism: Oryzias latipes (Japanese medaka)
Lineage: Eukaryota; Metazoa; Chordata; Actinopteri; Beloniformes; Adrianichthyidae
Source: RefSeq, a predicted model, not a curated record
AUAGCACGUCCGUACCAACGUGCGCUCUGAAUGUUGUGCAAAAGAAAGUUGCCUGCACUUCAAUGAUCACCUGAACCAAUCUGGCAACCCAGAUAAUGACGUUGAGCCACUCUUAGCAACGAUUGGCCAACAUCACUGCAUCGCAGCCUGGCACGGUGUGCAUUUACGAGCGCAUUUUGUUUCAAUAAAGUUGGGGAAAAGAAAAAAAACGAGCGAAAUUUGUCACUCUGAUCAAAGCGACAACAAUAGAACAUCAUGCCACAGAGAUUUUAUCCAUCAGGAGCUGAAAAAAUAUGAAGAACUUCAACCACAAGGUAAGUUUGGAGGAUGUUGGGGCUUUAUUUUUAUAUUAUCCAGCAUUUCUGUGCAGCUGCGCAAUUUACGUAAAAUACUAAUCGAUCCGAGGUGAAGAUUGCACAAACGACCCCUGUCGUAAAUUUCCCAUGGAAAACUGGAAAAUAAUUCUGAUACCAAAGUUUCCAAGAUGAGGUCGGACAUGACCUUCCAAAACGGUGAAGAGUAGAGAAGAGUAGAUAAUGACAACUGCGAUGGCUGAUAAAUGUUUUAACUCACGUUAUAAUAUUGUUUAAUUGUUUUGCUAACACACAUUUAGUGCGUUCUGCAUUUUCUGGUUUAUGUCAGCAUAAAAACUGCUGUUUAUUAUAGCAGGUCAGGUAUUCUGAGUUUUUCAACAAUGUGCCUUAAAUCUUGCAUUGGCAUGAAAUAAAAUAUGGAGAAUCAAAACUGCCAGAUACAAAUAGUAAAUAAAGGUUCUGAUUUAUAAAUGAUAAACAAAAGAAAUGUACUUAUUUUAAAAUUAUGAACAUACAAAAUAAUAGACAAAGAAGUGUAUAAGUGCUUAUAUUUCCACUUAUACUCAAAUUAUUGUUCACAUUAUUUAUAAAUGGGUACAUUUAUUUCUUAUUUGUAUUUUGCAGUUUUGGUUUUACAUAAUGAUGUUUUGCACAGUUCCGUCUCAGCUGAUAGUUUCUUCUGCUCUCAAAAAGUAUCAAGAAUUAUGGAGGUGGUGCAGCAUCCACAUCUCAAGAUGUUCCUGACUUCACUGAAGAUGGAAUCUCAGCUGCAGAAGAAACUCCUGUCACCACAUCUUUGAUUAAAAGAGAAAACGUUGAUGCUGCUGCUGAGGCUCCAAGAGAGGCAUGUAUGAAAGAGGAGCCUACAGGAUCCAAAAUUCCACCUACCGGUACCACAAAUCCAGUUGGUCCAGAUGAAUGACCAACCACACUCUCUGAUCCAGAAAGAAUGGAUUUGAUGCAAAGAGGUCCUUUUCAGACUGAGAAAGACUCUGACUUUCCAAAAUCCCCUCAUUGAG